Molecule: ribosomal RNA, 461 nt
Filed under: uncultured bacterium
Lineage: Bacteria
Description: bacterial SSU rRNA
Rfam family: Bacterial small subunit ribosomal RNA
Source: RNAcentral
AUACGGGAGGCAGCAGUAAGGAAUAUUGGACAAUGCCCGCAAGGGUGAUCCAGCCAUGCCGCGUGCAGGAAGACGGCCCUAUGGGUUGUAAACUGCUUUUAUACAAGAGAAAACCUCCCUACGUGUAGGGAGCUGAUAGUAUUGUAGGAAUAAGCAUCGGCUAACUUCGUGCCAGCAGCCGCGGUAAGACGAAGGAUGCAAGCGUUAUCCGGAUUCAUUGGGUUUAAAGGGAGCGUAGGCGGCCCUGUAAGUCAGUGGUGAAAUCACUCGGCUUAACCGAGAAAUUGCCAUUGAUACUGCAGGGCUUGAGUACAGCUGCUGUGGGCGGAAUAUGACAUGUAGUGGUGAAAUACAUAGAGAUGUCAUAGAACACCGAUUGCGAAGGCAGCUCACAAAACUGUAACUGACGCUGAGGCUCGAAAGUGCGGGGAUCAAACAGGAUUAGAUACCCUGGUAGUCGC